This 447-nucleotide ribosomal RNA is filed under the name uncultured bacterium. Its description in RNAcentral is "partial 16S ribosomal RNA". It matches the Rfam family "Bacterial small subunit ribosomal RNA", at positions 330 to 793 of the family's 1533-position model. The record is from RNAcentral.
CCCAGACUCCUACGGGAGGCAGCAGUGGGGGAUAUUGCACAAUGGGGGGAACCCUGAUGCAGCGACGCCGCGUGGGUGAAGGAGCGUUUCGGCGCGUAAAGCCCUAUCGGCAGGGAAGAAGGAGGACGGUACCUGACUAAGAAGCCCCGGCUAACUACGUGCCAGCAGCCGCGGUAAUACGUAGGGGGCAAGCGUUAUCCGGAUUUACUGGAUGUAAAGGGGGCGCAGACGGCAGCGCAAGCCAGGAGUGAAAGCCCGGGGCCCAACCCCGGGACUGCUCUUGGAACUGCGCGGCUGGAGUGCAGGAGGGGCAGGCGGAAUUCCUGGUGUAGCGGUGAAAUGCGUAGAUAUCAGGAGGAACACCGGUGGCGAAGGCGGCCUGCUGGACUGCGACUGACGUUGAGGCCCGAAAGCGUGGGGAGCAAACAGGAUUAGAUACCCGCGUAC